This 446-nucleotide ribosomal RNA is filed under the name uncultured bacterium. Its description in RNAcentral is "bacterial SSU rRNA". It matches the Rfam family "Bacterial small subunit ribosomal RNA", at positions 330 to 792 of the family's 1533-position model. The record is from RNAcentral.
UCCAGACUCCUACGGGAGGCAGCAGUGGGGGAUAUUGCACAAUGGGGGAAACCCUGAUGCAGCGACGCCGCGUGGGUGAAGAAGUAUUUCGGUAUGUAAAGCCCUAUCAGCAGGGAAGAAAGAAGACGGUACCUGACUAAGAAGCCCCGGCUAACUACGUGCCAGCAGCCGCGGUAAUACGUAGGGGGCGAGCGUUAUCCGGAUUCACUGGGUGUAAAGGGAGCGUAGACGGCCGUGCAAGCCAGGAGUGAAAGCCCGGGGCCCAACCCCGGGACUGCUCUUGGAACUGUGCGGCUGGAGUGCGGGAGGGGCAGGCGGAAUUCCUUGUGUAGCGGUGAAAUGCGUAGAUAUAAGGAAGAACACCAGUGGCGAAGGCGGAUUACUGGACGAUAACUGACGGUGAGGCGCGAAAGCGUGGGGAGCAAACAGGAUUAGAUACCCCCGUA